GGGCAGAAAAUACAAAGGGGGCCCGGAUUCCAACUUCGACUGAGUCAACAGCAGACGCAGGCUCAGCGCAGCCCCGUGCGGCUGGAAGAACCACGGCUGGGACUCCAACUUGUUGAGAAGGUUCAGUCGCGCCUUCUUGUUCCAUAGGGACCCCCCGGCCGGUCGGGCUUUGUUGCCUUCAGGGUCUCAGGGUCCAGUGAGGGAGAUGAGCUCGCACUCAGACCCGCAGACAGGUUAAAGAACACCUCCAAGAAGAAGCCUUCGUUGACACCACCUCUACCAGGAGGUCGCCUUUUCUGACUCCCCCCACUUUCAACCACACCCUGUCAGAACUCACCCAUUUUACCGCUUUGCCGCGUUUCCUAACUAGUCGGAAUGGGUUCCUCUUGGCUCUCCGGAAAUAGAGACUAAGCCUCAUCGGUGACAACCUUGCUCUGCGCCCAGAGCUGAUAAGAAACAUCACCCAGGGAGGACAGGUGCCUCUUCUUCACUUUCUAAUCAGAGUGGAAAU
Molecule: long non-coding RNA, 511 nt
Organism: Mesoplodon densirostris (Blainville's beaked whale)
Lineage: Eukaryota; Metazoa; Chordata; Mammalia; Artiodactyla; Ziphiidae
Exons: 3
Source: RefSeq, a predicted model, not a curated record